UACAGAGGGGGCAAGCGUUAUUCGGAAUUAUUGGGCGUAAAGGGCGCGUAGGCGGCCUGGCAAGUGGAUGGUGAAAUCCCUCGGCUUAACCGAGGAACUGCCAUCCAGACUGCUUGGCUUGAGACCGGGAGAGGUGAGUGGAAUUCCCAGUGUAGCGGUGAAAUGCGUAGAUAUAUGGAAGAACAUCAAUAACGGCGAAGGCAGUUAACUAUUCUGUUACUGACAUUGAGGCACGAAAGCGUGGGGAGCAAAACGG
This 256-nucleotide ribosomal RNA is filed under the name uncultured bacterium. RNAcentral's name for it is "partial 16S ribosomal RNA". It matches the Rfam family "Bacterial small subunit ribosomal RNA", at positions 524 to 776 of the family's 1533-position model. The record is from RNAcentral.